Molecule: transfer RNA, 64 nt
Filed under: Mesohomotoma hibisci
Lineage: Eukaryota; Metazoa; Arthropoda; Insecta; Hemiptera; Carsidaridae
Description: tRNA-Glu
Source: RNAcentral
AAUCUUUUUAGUUUAACAAAAACAUAAUAUUUUCAAUAUUAAAAUAAUCAUUUUUAAAAGAUAA